Molecule: ribosomal RNA, 230 nt
Filed under: uncultured bacterium
Lineage: Bacteria
Description: partial 16S ribosomal RNA
Rfam family: Bacterial small subunit ribosomal RNA
Source: RNAcentral
AAAGCGUGCGCAGGCGGUUAUGUAAGACAGAUGUGAAAUCCCCGGGCUCAACCUGGGAACUGCAUUUGUGACUGCAUGGCUAGAGUACGGUAGAGGGGGAUGGAAUUCCGCGUGUAGCAGUGAAAUGCGUAGAUAUGCGGAGGAACACCGAUGGCGAAGGCAAUCCCCUGGACCUGUACUGACGCUCAUGCACGAAAGCGUGGGGAGCAAACAGGAUUAGAUACCCGAGU